This is a long non-coding RNA of Suricata suricatta (meerkat), 1938 nucleotides long. RefSeq lists it as uncharacterized. The record is from RefSeq and is a predicted model, not a curated record. NCBI's taxonomy places the organism in Eukaryota, Metazoa, Chordata, Mammalia, Carnivora, Herpestidae. The transcript has 3 exons.
GCACCCCCAGCCCCUGCACACACAGAGACACCAACACAUGCAUCUGCUACACCAUGCUGGUUCUCUCUCUGUCCAAGUCUCUGCAUGCCCUGCCUCCUCACAUAGACUGGCUGGUUCUGAGGGCAGGACCGUCACCUCUCCCGGGACCCAUGCCUGGUAACUGAUACUGUUCCUUGGUGGAGUGGACAGACAGCACAGCAAGUAUCUCUGCCUUGACCAGCCAAGGGGUGUUUUCCAGUGGGGACAUCUUGGCUGCAGGAGCUGACAUGUAACCCAGGGGGCAAGAGGUGCUCUGCCAGCACGGACAUCCCAUGGCCUCGUGGCCACACGGCAUAUGCAAAGUCCAGGUUUCAACAGCGCUCGGCCAGCACUGACACACCCACCGUCACCUCGGACAUUGGCUCUUCAGCUGCCCGCAUCAGCACGAUCUGGAUGACUCGGCCCUCGUAGAUGUGGGCGUCGAACGUGGACUUCCACUCAGGGUACAUGGUGGGCUUCUUCUGUACCAGUGUCUUCCCGCGCUCUGCAACACAGCCAGGCAGGCAAGGUCUGGUUGGGGUCCCUCUGUCCCACCUGCCCCCACCCCCACCCCCAGACUUGCCACAGCCUUCAGCCUGGAGAGAAUCUUCCUGGCUCUUCCCCUGAGGAUAUUUCCACUCCUCAGCCUUCACAACUGUGCUCUGCUCACCUCACCAGCCUCAUGUCAUUCCUAACACACCCCAGAACACAGAACUGCCCCCGCCCCUCUAGGAAGCCCUGCUAGGUCCCACCUCCGGGUCUUUGCUCCUGCUCUUCUUUCCUCUUCCUGUGGCCCUCUUCCCUAGCCCCACUUAGCUGUCACCUCCCCUCGUGCAUUCAGUGAACACAUGCAGAGCCCUGUGUACCAAAUUCUUGGCAUUUGGAGGUGAAAAACAUGGCAGAAAGAAAAGUGAAAACCAGUGCCUAUUUCCCAAGGGCCUGGUCCAGAGCAGGACACGAGCCCAUUCAUCCCUCAAGUAAACAUUAAAUCACAGCUGUGAUGAGAUUGAAGAGGGCAAGGCCAGGGCUUUAGACCUGCUCUGGGUCAUGGUCAGGUGGCAUGCCCCAGCUUAAGGGUCAGGGAAUGAUUCCUGGAGGAAGGGACAGCUCAGAUGGGCCCUACGGGAUGAGCCAGGGGCUCAGCAAGUGGGGGCAGAAGCGAGAAGGAAUGGGGUGAGAUGUUUGCCUCCCCCAGGAGGACUUUGCUGAGCCCAGCCUGGGACAGUGCUUCCUGUGGGCUUCCCCAUCAUAGGACUCAUCGUCUGGCUCCCACACCUGACUGUGAGCCCCACAAGGGCAGGGCCAAGUCAGCCCUGGAGCAUGGCAGUGCCCAGCACAGGGGCUGGCACAGAUGGGCAUGAGGAAAUUGUUGGGUGAAACCACCAAUGGGGGGGGGGCCAGAAGCCUCCCCCCAACACCCCAACGCUCACCCUGGAAAAGGCUCUACACCCCAUGGACCUGCAUCCACAGCCGGGCUGGGCAGGGAGGUGAAGAUGAGGAAGAGAAGGAUUCCUUGGAAGCUCUAGAGGAAGAAGGCAUGGGCCCUGCAGGGCCUCCUACCGAGCCUGGGUUCUCAGUCCUACCCGUGCUAAGGGCCUCCUUCAUCUUCACGGCACAGAAGGGCUGGCUGGCAUCAUCCGCGGCCUGCAGGGAGCCGAGCUCAUAGGAGGUGAAGGCGAUACGCAGGAACGGCGCCAUGUUGAGGCCUGCAGUGCGGCUGUACAGACAGAAUGGGUGAAGCUGGACAGCAAGGGACAAGCCCAGGAAGUGCUACUCGGGUGCCCUUGGGUGGGCACUCACCUCACUAAGUUUGGCCCAUUGAUUUAGUGCUUACAGGGCACUAGCUCUAGUUGCCGUUGUUAAAACUGAGUUUCUGGAAGUCUGGAUUUGUGGCAUCCCCAGUAAAACUGGAAAAUGUGA